Molecule: ribosomal RNA, 757 nt
Filed under: uncultured fungus
Lineage: Eukaryota; Fungi
Description: eukaryotic LSU rRNA
Rfam family: 5.8S ribosomal RNA (bases 182-335)
Source: RNAcentral
CGGUCCUCGUAGUGACCUGCGGAGGGAUCAUUACCGAGAGAGGGUGCCUCGCGCGCCCGACCUCCCAACCCUUUGUCGACCGUACUGCGUUGCCUCUGGGUGCCGGCGCCCGCGUCGCCCCAAGAGGACCCAACCGAAACCCUGCGUCUUUGCGUCGGAGUCACUUUGAUAAAUCAAUCAAAACUUUCAACAACGGAUCUCUUGGUUCUGGCAUCGAUGAAGAACGCAGCGAAAUGCGAUAAGUAAUGUGAAUUGCAGAAUUCAGUGAAUCAUCGAAUCUUUGAACGCACAUUGCGCCCUCUGGUAUUCCGGGGGGCAUGCCCGUUCGAGCGUCAUUUCACCACUCAAGCCUGGCUUGGUAUGAGCGGCGGGGACCACCCCCGCGCCCCGAAUUCGUCGGCUGGACGGACGGAAUCUCAGCGUUGUGAUCUCUCAAUUCGCUCACGAGGACGCCCGGACGCGCCGUUAAAAUUGAAUCAGGUUGACCUCGGAUCGGGUAGGGAUACCCGCUGAACUUAAGCAUAUCAAAAGGUGGGAGGAAGUCGGCGUGAGUGGAGGCUCGAGAAGUUGCGGGAGGAAAACACCAAGGGGGGGGACGAAAAAAGAAGGAAUCAGGGAGGGUUCCGGGGAGGGACAGGGCGGAAAACUGGAAACACGCGACGCCGAAUUUAGCGUUGUAACGGGAAAGGAUGUGGGCGCCAGGGAGUAGAUCUCGCGCCGAAUCUAUACGCGUGAUGCGUGGGUGUAUCGAGCGAAA